Molecule: transfer RNA, 69 nt
Filed under: Marmota monax (woodchuck)
Lineage: Eukaryota; Metazoa; Chordata; Mammalia; Rodentia; Sciuridae
Description: tRNA.Gly
Source: RNAcentral
GGGGUUGUGGCUCAGAGGUAGAGUGCUCACCUACCAUGCGUGAAGCACUGGGUUCGAUCCUCAACACCA